UACAGAGGGGGCAAGCGUUGUUCGGAAUUACUGGGCGUAAAGGGCGCGUAGGCGGCCUGUUAAGUCGAACGUGAAAUCCCCGGGCUCAACCCGGGAACUGCGUCCGAUACUGGCAGGCUUGAAUUCGGGAGAGGGAUGUGGAAUUCCAGGUGUAGCGGUGAAAUGCGUAGAUAUCUGGAGGAAUACCGGUGGCGAAGGCGGCAUCCUGGACCGGCAUUGACGCUGAGGCACGAAAGCGUGGGGAGCAAACAGG
Molecule: ribosomal RNA, 253 nt
Filed under: uncultured bacterium
Lineage: Bacteria
Description: partial 16S ribosomal RNA
Rfam family: Bacterial small subunit ribosomal RNA
Source: RNAcentral